Molecule: ribosomal RNA, 497 nt
Filed under: uncultured bacterium
Lineage: Bacteria
Description: partial 16S ribosomal RNA
Rfam family: Bacterial small subunit ribosomal RNA
Source: RNAcentral
GAUGAACGCUGGCGGCGUGCCUAAUACAUGCAAGUCGAGCGAACGGACGAGAAGCUUGCUUCUCUGAUGUUAGCGGCGGACGGGUGAGUAACACGUGGAUAACCUACCUAUAAGACUGGGAUAACUUCGGGAAACCGGAGCUAAUACCGGAUAAUAUUUUGAACCGCAUGGUUCAAAAGUGAAAGACGGUCUUGCUGUCACUUAUAGAUGGAUCCGCGCUGCAUUAGCUAGUUGGUAAGGUAACGGCUUACCAAGGCAACGAUGCAUAGCCGACCUGAGAGGGUGAUCGGCCACACUGGAACUGAGACACGGUCCAGACUCCUACGGGAGGCAGCAGUAGGGAAUCUUCCGCAAUGGGCGAAAGCAUGACGGAGCAACGCCGCGUGAGUGAUGAAGGUCUUCGGAUCGUAAAACUGUGUUAUUAGGGAAGAACAAAUGUGUAAGUAACUGUGCACAUCUUGACGGUACCUAAUCAGAAAGCCACGGCUAACUACGUG